AGCUUAAAGAACAAAUUUUAAGUUUUACCUGCCCUGUGAAUAUUUUUAACGGCUGCGGUACCUUGACCGUACUAAGGUAGCAUAAUCAAUUGGCUUUUAAAUGGAGUCUGGAAUGAAUGGGAAAUUGGAGUUUUACUUUCUUAAAUAAAUUUUAUUGAAUUUACUAUAAAAGUGAAAAAGCUUUUUAAUGAAAAAAGACGAGAAGACCCUUGGAGUUUAAAUUUAUUUUGUUGGGGCGACAUUAAAAAUUUAACUUUUAAAUAUUUAAUUAUCAAUUUUUAAUUAUAAUUUAAAAACUACCCAAGGGAUAACAGCAUAAUUCUUUAUGAGAUUGUGACCUCGAUGUUGGACUAGGGAAAGUAAUGACUAGAAGCUAUUACUUUAUGUUCUGUUCGAACAUAACUUUCCU
Molecule: ribosomal RNA, 409 nt
Filed under: Pseudoilbia avellana
Lineage: Eukaryota; Metazoa; Mollusca; Gastropoda; Runcinacea; Runcinidae
Description: partial large subunit ribosomal RNA
Rfam family: Bacterial large subunit ribosomal RNA
Source: RNAcentral